AGCGCCGCUCCGGCUGCACCGCGCUCGCUCCGAGUUUCAGGCUCGUGCUAAAGCUAGCGCCGCCGUCGUCUCCCUUCAGUCGCCAUCAUGAUUAUCUACCGGGACCUCAUCAGCCAUGGUCAGUAGGACAGAAGGUAACAUUGAUGACUCGCUCAUUGGUGGAAAUGCCUCCGCUGAAGGCCCCGAGGGCGAAGGUACCGAAAGCACAGUAAUCACUGGUGUCGAUAUUGUCAUGAACCAUCACCUGCAGGAAACAAGUUUCACAAAAGAAGCCUACAAGAAGUACAUCAAAGAUUACAUGAAAUCGUAAGUGAUACUGGCAGUACCUAGCUGAUGUCUAGAAUCUUACAGGAUUUAAAGACUGGCUAACUUUUGAGGUUCUUUCGCAGUGGAUAUACUUUUGUGAAAGUCCUUGCUUUUUUAUUAAUGAGUUCACUGAAAAGAGUGGUUGCUUUUCUAUAAUAGCAUACUGAAGGCUGCAGUCUGUUUCCGUUUAGAAUUAGAAUAGUAUUUUGAAAAUAGUCAACAAGAAAUGUAAACAUUCUUGAAAGAUACUUUCUGUGAACUAGUAAUUUCUUAACAGCUGGUUGUCUUUUUCAGUGUUUUCUUUUUUUAAGCUUGGAUAUUUUUCACUUUAAAAAUUGAUUUUACUGAAAAUUCAAUACUUCAACCUGUUAAUGAAAUGUUGUUUUAGAAUCAAAGGGAAACUUGAAGAACAGAGACCAGAAAGAGUAAAACCUUUUAUGACAGGGGCUGCAGAACAAAUCAAGCACAUCCUUGCUAAUUUCAAAAACUACCAGGUAAAUACCUUAAGUAUCUGGAUCAAAGGAUUGUACAAUUUUAACUGCAAGAGCAAAAAUUAAGUUGAUUAAUCUUCAAUUCUAUACUAGUAUUCCAGGUGUAGAAAGUGGCUUUCCCAGCUCUCAGGUGUUUCCAAAUCUUGUCUUCUGAUUGAAAAUUUGCUUCCCAGAUGACAUUUCUCAGUUUUUCUUUUCGUGAAUUGCUUAACCACAUAAGUGUUCUUUCAGUUUUCUGCUUACAAUUCUAAUGUGUCUCAUUGCUACUGGUCCUCCUUCUAAUGUAUCUGAGCUUGUUAAGUCUACUUUUGAAAAAUGUCAGUGGCUUUCCCUUUCCUCUGAUUUUCCAGCUUCAUGCAUCCCCUGGCCAUAAGAUACUUCCAGACUGUAUGAUAUAUUCUAUCACUGUCAGCCUUAUGUUCCCUGUGGGUAACUAUAUAAGCACGCUUUAGGGUUUGGGAUUGUAUUUAGGACUGAGAGAGUAAAGGUUUCCUGAAAGGCUAGUGUUCCUGGAUUGCUCUGUACAUUAUUUUUCUAUUUAGGUCACUAUUAAGGUGCCUUAAUCUAGUGAACAGAUGUCUAUGAUAAGUGAGCAUCAGAGCUUUUGGGUACUGGAGUUUUGAUUUUUAUGGUGGCCUAAACCUUCCCUUGUACUGUAGUUUGAGUGGCAUGUAUUUGUAUGUAAUGGUCUAAUUCUAGGUAUCUUGUUGCUUCCCAAGUUCUUUAUUGGUGAAAACAUGAAUCCAGAUGGCAUGGUUGCUCUAUUGGACUACCGUGAGGAUGGUGUGACCCCAUAUAUGAUUUUCUUUAAGGAUGGUUUAGAAAUGGAAAAAUGUUAACAAAUUUGGCAAUUAUUUUGGAUCUAUCACCUGUCAUCAUAACUGGCUUCUGCUUGUCAUCCACACAACACCAGGACUUAAGACAAAUGGGACUGAUGUCAUCUUGAGCUCUUCAUUUAUUUUGACCGUGAUUUAUUUGGAGUGGAGGCAUUGUUUUUAAGAAAAACAUGUCAUGUAGGUUGUCUAAAAAUAAAAUGCAUUUAAACUCA
RNAcentral lists this small RNA (1845 nucleotides) under Pongo abelii (Sumatran orangutan). Its description in RNAcentral is "retained intron". The record is from RNAcentral. Lineage: Eukaryota; Metazoa; Chordata; Mammalia; Primates; Hominidae.